CCGCCGGCGCCCGGCCCGGGGUCCCGAUCCUCCUCGGCGGUCCCCGGCCGAGAGCGGGGGGCGCGGACGGGAGGGAGGCCUGCUCCGGGCCGGGGGCUCCGCGCACACCCUCGGGAGACUGGGGCGCAGCCGCCAGUUGGCCUUACGUAAGCUCUCAGCCAGACCGGGGGGCUCCACGCGUCCUUCCCGCCAAGGAAGCAAGUCUAAAAGGUGGCCAGUUCUCUGGACUGAAGGGCGGCGGACACUCCAUACCAUCCCCUAGUGAUAAGCUGGGGUCCGACCAUCGCGUUUUGCGGGACAUGGAGCAGCUUUCCAAGCUCUCCCCCUACGCUUUGUUGUGUUUGAUCCUCUUCUAUGGUGGGAUUCUGAGGAGGCUGUGCAGGGUAAUGAAGGAGCACUGGAUAUGGAGUCCAAAGAGCGGGGCUGGAUGCUCGCCGCUUCCUCCCUUUAACUAAAUGCCCCUUACAUAGAGCGCGGGCUUUGAACUAGACUUCCCGGCGUCAGUCUCUCCCCAGCCAUUUCUGAGUUGUGUGACCUUGUGCAAGUUCUGUCUCGAAGUAUCCGUUUUCUCAUCUCGAAAUCAGAUACUGUGCACCGACCGAGGACUUGGCUCAUAAAUAGUAGCUGUUAGAAUUAUGAGCCUCGAUCGUCACAGUUUGCCCUCUCGUAACUUCUGUGCCUUCGGCUCAAUAAUGGAAUAAUAGUGGCCACUGUUAAAUGAAAGAAGCAGCCUUUGGAGAGCCCAGCGUUAUUUGGGGUGACAAUGUAUGGAGCUGGAAGGCUGUUUCAGCCUCCCUUGGAGGGCUGGGUUCCAGCCAAUGGAAUGUAAACAGCAGUGCUCCGUGGCACGUCCAAGAAGGCUGCUUACAGGAAGCUGACUCCAUUGAAAGCUUUCCGAGUUGGAGCGAUGACAGCGGCAUGGAAGCCGGCGAACUGAACCUCCGAGCCCAGCAGGAAGCCGCGGGCCAGACGCCCCGCCCUCCUCUCCCCGGCCACUCUCAGGGACCGCGGAGAACCGGGGACACUCCGAACCGGCGGCCACCGAACUUCCAGCUCCACUCCAUCCCACGGCAGAGAGAGAAACUGAGGCCCCGGAGGAUUUGAGGGUUCCUGGCCGCGUGGGAACCCGUGACCCGGCCCGCGCGUCAGAGAACGGAAGGCCGGCCUCGGGCGGGAAGUGAACCCGAGGCCUCGGUGCGGCCAGCCAGGGCAGAGAGGCUCAGCGCGGCCGCGGGGCGGAGCCGCGGGGCGGGGCGGGGCCAACAUGGCGGAGAGGCGGGGCUCCCGGGGGC
Molecule: long non-coding RNA, 1292 nt
Organism: Diceros bicornis minor
Lineage: Eukaryota; Metazoa; Chordata; Mammalia; Perissodactyla; Rhinocerotidae
Exons: 3
Source: RefSeq, a predicted model, not a curated record